Molecule: ribosomal RNA, 418 nt
Filed under: uncultured cyanobacterium
Lineage: Bacteria; Bacillati; Cyanobacteriota
Description: bacterial SSU rRNA
Rfam family: Bacterial small subunit ribosomal RNA
Source: RNAcentral
UUUCCGCAAUGGGCGCAAGCCUGACGGAGCAAUACCGCGUGAGGGAUUGACAGCCUGUGGGUUGUAAACCUCUUUUGUCAAGGAGGAAGUUCUGACGUUACUUGACGAAUAAGCAUCGGCUAACUCCGUGCCAGCAGCCGCGGUAAUACGGAGGAUGCAAGUGUUAUCCGGAAUCACUGGGCGUAAAGAGUCUGUAGGUGGUUUAAAAAGUCUACUAUUAAAGAUUGAAGCUUAACUUCAGGAGUGUCGUAGAAACUUUUAAACUCGAGUAUGAUAGGGGUAGAGGGAAUUUCCAGUGGAGCGGUGAAAUGCGUAGAUAUUGGAAAGACCACCGAUGGCGAAGGCACUCUACUGGGCCAUUACUGACACUGAGAGACGAAAGCUAGGGUAGCAAAUGGGAUUAGAUACCCCUGUAGUC